CGACUACAUUAGAUACCCCGGUAGUCCCAGCCGUAAACUAUGCUCGCUAGGUGUCAGGCAUGGCGCGACCGUGUCUGGUGCCGCAGGGAAGCCGUGAAGCGAGCCACCUGGGAAGUACGGCCGCAAGGCUGAAACUUAAAGGAAUUGGCGGGGGAGCACAACAACGGGUGGAGCCUGCGGUUUAAUUGGACUCAACGCCGGACAACUCACCGGGGACGACAGCAAUAUGUAGGCCAGGCUGAAGACCUUGCCUGAAUCGCUG
RNAcentral lists this ribosomal RNA (262 nucleotides) under uncultured archaeon. Its description in RNAcentral is "partial 16S ribosomal RNA". It matches the Rfam family "Archaeal small subunit ribosomal RNA", at positions 721 to 982 of the family's 1478-position model. The record is from RNAcentral.